UUUUUAUCGAUUAAGUCGAUAAGUAAUACAACGUAGGUAGACGAAGGGUUUAUCGAUUUUGAGGAUUCUUACUUUAAUCAAAAUUAUAAACUGGCCUGUGUCCAGCAGUGGACUCCAAUAGGCUGGAAUGAUGAUGAUGAUAAUGAUGAUGAAAAUUAUAAACAAAAAUAACAUUCAUGGAGUCUGGGAGACUCCUAGUAGGUAGUUGUGUGACUGAAAAGAGAGGUAGGUAGCUAAGGGUUAAUACACGUUGUCAAAGAUUACUUAAAAAGUAGUAAUAAUUAAAAAAAUUGCCUUUAAAGUACCAGGCGAGCAUAAAUAUAGAAGGACCUGACGAGCCCGUCGACACUAAGCUGCCAACGAGCCAAGCAGCUGACUACCAGCGCUGGCGCCGCGCCAGUGGCUCAGCCUUCGCACUUUAACUAUUAUUAUUAUUAAAUCGCCUCAAUUUACUAUGUACGAAAUUAUAAACCUUAUGCGAAUAUUUUAAGGAAUUUUUUAUUAUAUAAAACUUAAAUUUCACACUCGAGAGAAAAGCAUUUUUUUUUUUAAUAAAUUUGCGACGUACGUUGAAAUUUCAAUAAUAAAAUUCUUGCUAACUUACUUUUAUGUAAGUAAUACUGAGUAUUUUUUAUUCUAUUUAG
This 644-nucleotide unclassified non-coding RNA is filed under the name Melitaea cinxia (Glanville fritillary). RNAcentral describes it as "misc RNA ENSMCXG00005005914.1". Lineage: Eukaryota; Metazoa; Arthropoda; Insecta; Lepidoptera; Nymphalidae. The record is from RNAcentral.